AGAAAGGACUCACCUUUUCAAUGAAUGGCAUGUCCAGUUUCUCAAAAAUCUGGCAAAAUGAGCCUAAAGGCCAACAAAGGGUGGUCUUUCAUGGUUUGACUUCAGCAACACAGUGAAGCCUAAUCUAUGGGAGGCUUCAGAGAAGGAGGAAAACAAUGAAGGGGAAAAUGUUUUUUAACCUUACAAAAAUUAUGUGAGUUACAUGCUGUCAGUUUCUUUUCCACACUUGGGUCCCUGUUACCUAUGGGAGACCUGAGCAGGGUUCAUGGCACCUGUCUUCAAUUUGGUCCAACUCCAGACAUCACACCUAUUUGGGUAAUAAAUGAGUUUGUGGAAGAUU
Long non-coding RNA from Ochotona princeps (American pika), 340 nucleotides. RefSeq lists it as uncharacterized. NCBI's taxonomy places the organism in Eukaryota, Metazoa, Chordata, Mammalia, Lagomorpha, Ochotonidae. The record is from RefSeq and is a predicted model, not a curated record. The transcript is spliced from 2 exons.